Ziziphus jujuba (common jujube) is the source of this 95-nucleotide small nucleolar RNA. RefSeq annotates it as small nucleolar RNA snoR31/Z110/Z27. The transcript has a single exon. NCBI's taxonomy places the organism in Eukaryota, Viridiplantae, Streptophyta, Magnoliopsida, Rosales, Rhamnaceae. The record is from RefSeq and is a predicted model, not a curated record.
AUCAUCAUAGGAUGAAAUCAGGAAUAAUCUUAGGACACCUUCCUACACAGCUCCACCUGCUGUGGAUGAGAAGAACUUUCCGUUCUGAUGAUGAU